RNAcentral lists this ribosomal RNA (447 nucleotides) under uncultured bacterium. RNAcentral's name for it is "bacterial SSU rRNA". It matches the Rfam family "Bacterial small subunit ribosomal RNA", at positions 328 to 792 of the family's 1533-position model. The record is from RNAcentral.
UUUCCAGACUCCUACGGGAGGCAGCAGUGGGGGAUAUUGCACAAUGGGGGGAACCCUGAUGCAGCGACGCCGCGUGGGUGAAGAAGCGCCUCGGCGCGUAAAGCCCUGUCAGCAGGGAAGAAAAUGACGGUACCUGAAGAAGAAGCCCCGGCUAACUACGUGCCAGCAGCCGCGGUAGUACGUAGGGGGCAAGCGUUAUCCGGAUUUACUGGGUGUAAAGGGAGCGUAGACGGCUGUGCAAGUCUGAAGUGAAAGCCCGUGGCUCAACCGCGGAACUGCUUUGGAAACUGUAUAGCUUGAGUACUGGAGAGGCAGGCGGAAUUCCUAGUGUAGCGGUGAAAUGCGUAGAUAUUAGGAGGAACACCAGUGGCGAAGGCGGCCUGCUGGACAGAAACUGACGUUGAGGCUCGAAAGCGUGGGGAGCAAACAGGAUUAGAUACCCGAGUA